GGAAUCGCCAUUAAUUUCAUUUGUGUUUGACAAAGCGUCAUCCAAUGGAUUAAAACCCUUCCUUUUGGUGGCAGUGGAACGGUAUGAUACUUGGUUGCCAGGCGUCCAUUUUUAGUAAAAGCCAAAGAACUGGGAUAGAAAACACCACAAACUAUGCCAAUCAGUGAGCUUCUGAAAACACAGUUUUCCUUGCUUAUAUUAUCUGGAAAACAAAAGUAAAUUUGGUUUUCCUUUAAAACUCAAGAGCUAUUAAGACAGUGUUGUACCUCACAGAGUAGUUAUCUGCACUAUCCUCAACCACAACUAAACCAUAGAAAGAAUAUUAGAAAUUCAAACUCUGUGGCAUAUAACAGGC
This 355-nucleotide long non-coding RNA is filed under the name Homo sapiens (human). RNAcentral describes it as "LNC_000760". Lineage: Eukaryota; Metazoa; Chordata; Mammalia; Primates; Hominidae. The record is from RNAcentral.